GGAAGAGAGACAAGAGUGGGGGCGGAUCAUCGCUGCCAGGAUUCUGGCUCCCCAUUCAUUUCUGGCACACACAGUCUCCAAGUAUAAUUAACAGGGGAAGGGAGCCUUUGUUCAGCAAGCUUAAAGAAAAAACAUCCUCCCCUCCCCCCAUGGUGACUUAAAGGUUGCUGUAAGAGCUAGCCACCCGUUGUUUGCCAAGUUCAUGGAGACCUCUGGGAAUGAAACAGCAGGGAAAGAGGAGCUUCUGGACAAUGGUGUCAAGAGGCUGUACUUAAAGGCUGAGUAGCAGGAGCAGCAAGCACAGGAUUUUUAUGAUAUUCUCAAGCUCAGCUCUGCCACUGAGCAGCUUGCCCAGCUACCCUGAGCAAACAACAGGAUGAGGACAGAAAUUGCAGUGCUUCCCCUCUCCUGAAAUUAAAAUAGCAUUUUAUUUAUAGUUAUUGAAUACCCCAAACCUAAGGAGAUCAACUACAUUUCCAAGAAUUGAGCCCUAAAAUUCAGGCACUGAUAUAAGAAAGGAACCAGUUUUUUUCUUGUUUUUCAUUUUUUCCUAAUAUUGGAAAUGAAAGAACAAAAACGUUUUUUUGGCUCCCUGUCUCUUUCCCUGAGCUGUGCUCAGGCUGAAGGACCCAGAACAUUUUCUUUCUCCUUGUUUCCUGCAGCUAGAUCUACACUGGUGAAUUUAGUUAACUGGAUCACUGUAGGCAGCCAAUAUAGAUGAUUCAGCUUUCUCCCCACUCGACACCUUCCCUGCCCCCACCCGACCCCUACCCCUGCAAUUCCACCUUGAUUUAGUGGGUCAGGACUGAUCUCUGUCCCUGCUAGCAGGGAGGGGAGAAAGUUGACAUUGCUGUAUUUUGGUUGUCUCCAGGUGGGGUAUAACAUCACAGGCUGGUUGGAGAAGAACAAGGACGCCUUGAAUGAAACUGGUGGGCUUGUUCCAGAAAUCCAGCAUGGUGCUACUUAAUACGCUCUUUAAAGAAGAGGAGGCUGCAGCUGGAGCUAAGAAGCAAAAAAGAGGGUCGUCCUUCGUGACUGUCUCCAACUUCUACAGGGUAAGACCCUCCCCCAAGCCCUCUGCCCCAACCCUAAUGCAUUC
This 1099-nucleotide long non-coding RNA is filed under the name Phascolarctos cinereus (koala). Its description in RNAcentral is "lncRNA (ENSPCIG00000035437.1)". Lineage: Eukaryota; Metazoa; Chordata; Mammalia; Diprotodontia; Phascolarctidae. The record is from RNAcentral.